UACGUAGGCAGCGAGCGUUGUUCGGAGUUACUGGGCGUAAAGAGUGCGUAGGCGGUUUUCUAAGUUUGGUGUGAAAUCUCCCGGCUUAACUGGGAGGGUGCGCCGAAGACUGGAAGGCUUGAGUAUGGGAGAGGUAAGCGGAAUUCCUGGUGUAGCGGUGAAAUGCGUAGAUAUCAGGAGGAACACCUGCGGUGUAGACGGCUUACUGGACCAUCACUGACGCUGAGGCACGAAGGCGUGGGUAGCAAACAGG
This 253-nucleotide ribosomal RNA is filed under the name uncultured bacterium. RNAcentral's name for it is "partial 16S ribosomal RNA". It matches the Rfam family "Bacterial small subunit ribosomal RNA", at positions 524 to 776 of the family's 1533-position model. The record is from RNAcentral.